UCUACUGUGAAAGAAAUACAUACUUCUUAUUGAAGACUUAGAUUAAUUUGGAAAAGUAGAAAAGAAAAACAGUCCUAGUCCCCAAAGUGCUGGGGACCAAGCCCAGGGAUCAAGCAUGAUGGGCAAGCUCUCUACAACUGAGCUCCAUCCCCAGCCCUGACCAAGACAGAAUUUGGCUGCAGGUGUAUAAAGAGACACAAAAGGGGGAAAUGAUAAAGAAGAAUUUCCUAAUUAAUUCUGACACAGCAAGAAGUGGUGGUGGUCUAAAAACCAGGAAGAGAACCCUCACCAGGAACUGAAUGGGCCAGCACCUUGAUCUUGGACUCUUAGCCUCCAGAACAGUGACAGAUUCCUGUUGUUGAAGCCAUCUAGUCUGUGGCAUUUUGUUAGGGCAGCCGGGGAUGAUGAGGACAGCAUCUUUGGGUGUGAGGCCUAUGCCUUACUUUGCCAGCCCUCUAUCUGCUCUAUGUUUGCUUGGGCUCCACAGCCCCAUCUGAUUCACUUAAAAACACUAGUUCAAUAAUAAAAUAAUUAAGAAUUUCAAGAGAGUUACAGCAGAACAUGGAAACAAGUGUAAGGCCUCAUGAACGUCGGCCCUGGGACUUCACAGGCCACUUGCCCAUGAAGUCAGCCCUAACCCUGGACAGCUUAUGUGUUCCUGCUGUGAGCAUCUGAAGCUCAUUCCUCAUUUGUCCCCACUAAGAAGAGAUCUUGGCAUCUGACAGAUAUUCAA
Molecule: non-coding RNA, 733 nt
Organism: Marmota flaviventris (yellow-bellied marmot)
Lineage: Eukaryota; Metazoa; Chordata; Mammalia; Rodentia; Sciuridae
Source: RefSeq, a predicted model, not a curated record